AACCAUCCCCCAAAAAAACAGUCAGGAAGGGGAAAACAGAUUGGUUGCCAAGGCUCCUUCCAUCUGCCAUGCCACACCGUAUCAGUAAUAUCAAGCUUUACAAAGACAAAGAGAGGAGGGCUUCUGUGAGUGGAAAGUCAAAGUAGUGGAGUGUUGUAACAAUUCAUUAUUAAAAGAUCACAGCGUGGGCCUUAUGUCACCAAAGUCCCUGUUGUGAGCUGCUGUAACUGUUGCUCAGAACAACAAUUACUACAACUAUGCAAGUGGUAUGGCAGGUUUUUCACGGUGGAACCUAAUGAGCAUCUAGCACCAGUACCUCACAAAGGAACUGGUGUACUGUUCAUUCAGGCUUCAUCAUUCUGUUGGGUGGAUAAUCUGUUGUGUUUAAACCUCUAUUGAUAAUGUACACAUUAAAUUAGUGCUUUUUGCAGUGCGAAAACAAGACGCUACAGCAAUGCUAACAGCUCUGUGAGACUUGGAACUAAAUGCUAACAGGGUCAACAUGAAAUGGCUUACAUGCUGAUGUUUAUCAGGAUGGUAUUUUAUUUUCUGGUUUGUUGACUCUGGUUGGCUGAGGAGCGCGAGACAGACGACACAGCUGAGGAUCAUUGACUGCAAUCAACAGCAGCUUAUAUUCCCCUGCUCUUCCCUCUGCCAGAUUGUCUUUGCUACACCAGUGUGCCUCUAACUACUUCUGCACUGCACCUCUGUACACCGCCAGCCCCAUGCAUUGCUACUCAGCUUCAACUCCACAGACUGUCCUUCCCCCUUGAGCCCUUUGUUUAUCAAAAGUUUAUUAAAACCUC
Centropristis striata (black sea bass) is the source of this 806-nucleotide long non-coding RNA. RefSeq lists it as uncharacterized. The record is from RefSeq and is a predicted model, not a curated record. NCBI's taxonomy places the organism in Eukaryota, Metazoa, Chordata, Actinopteri, Perciformes, Serranidae. The transcript has 3 exons.